This 600-nucleotide ribosomal RNA is filed under the name Klebsiella pneumoniae. RNAcentral describes it as "bacterial SSU rRNA". It matches the Rfam family "Bacterial small subunit ribosomal RNA", at positions 1 to 592 of the family's 1533-position model. The record is from RNAcentral. Lineage: Bacteria; Pseudomonadati; Pseudomonadota; Gammaproteobacteria; Enterobacterales; Enterobacteriaceae.
AAAUUGAAGAGUUUGAUCAUGGCUCAGAUUGAACGCUGGCGGCAGGCCUAACACAUGCAAGUCGAGCGGUAGCACAGAGAGCUUGCUCUCGGGUGACGAGCGGCGGACGGGUGAGUAAUGUCUGGGAAACUGCCUGAUGGAGGGGGAUAACUACUGGAAACGGUAGCUAAUACCGCAUAACGUCGCAAGACCAAAGUGGGGGACCUUCGGGCCUCAUGCCAUCAGAUGUGCCCAGAUGGGAUUAGCUAGUAGGUGGGGUAAUGGCUCACCUAGGCGACGAUCCCUAGCUGGUCUGAGAGGAUGACCAGCCACACUGGAACUGAGACACGGUCCAGACUCCUACGGGAGGCAGCAGUGGGGAAUAUUGCACAAUGGGCGCAAGCCUGAUGCAGCCAUGCCGCGUGUGUGAAGAAGGCCUUCGGGUUGUAAAGCACUUUCAGCGGGGAGGAAGGCGAUAAGGUUAAUAACCUUGGCGAUUGACGUUACCCGCAGAAGAAGCACCGGCUAACUCCGUGCCAGCAGCCGCGGUAAUACGGAGGGUGCAAGCGUUAAUCGGAAUUACUGGGCGUAAAGCGCACGCAGGCGGUCUGUCAAGUCGGA